This is a non-coding RNA of Prunus avium (sweet cherry), 101 nucleotides long. Lineage: Eukaryota; Viridiplantae; Streptophyta; Magnoliopsida; Rosales; Rosaceae. The record is from RefSeq and is a predicted model, not a curated record.
AUAAUGGCAGCAGCUACCUUGGGGGCAUUGGUUUAUGGUUACAUGUGGUGGAAGGGUCUAAAAUUCUCAGAUCUUAUGUAUGUGACAAAGCGUAGUAUGAC